GAUUAACGCUGGCGGCGUGCAUAACACAUGCAAGUCGAACGAUGAAACUUUAAUGAACCCUUCGGGGAGAAUUAAAGCGGAUUAGUGGCGAACGGGUGAGUAACGCGUGAGUAACCUGCCUUACACAAGGGGAUAGCCUUUGGAAACGAAGAAUAAUACCCUAUAAAACCAUAAAAGCACAUGCAAUUAUGGUCAAAGUGAUAGCGGUGUAAGAUGGACUUGCGUCUGAUUAGCUAGUUGGUGAGAUAAAAGCCCACCAAGGCAACGAUCAGUAGCCGGCUUGGGAGAGUGUACGGCCACAUUGGGACUGAGACACGGCCCCGACUCCUACGGGAGGCAGCAGUGGGGAAUUUUGCACAAUGGGGGAAACCCUGAUGCAGCGACGCCGCGUGAUUUAGAAGGCCUUCGGGUUGUAAAAAUCUUUUGUAUAGGAAGAAAAUGACAGUACUAUACGAAUAAGGUCCGGCUAAUUACGUG
Molecule: ribosomal RNA, 477 nt
Filed under: uncultured bacterium
Lineage: Bacteria
Description: partial 16S ribosomal RNA
Rfam family: Bacterial small subunit ribosomal RNA
Source: RNAcentral